Biomphalaria glabrata is the source of this 1507-nucleotide long non-coding RNA. RefSeq lists it as uncharacterized. Lineage: Eukaryota; Metazoa; Mollusca; Gastropoda; Planorbidae. The transcript has 2 exons. The record is from RefSeq and is a predicted model, not a curated record.
AUGACACAAGAUGCGUAGAAGUUGAUGUGAAUCGGGUUUUUCCUAAGUAAUGUGACGAGUAAGAACAGAGUAGGAUAAUGAACAAAAAAGAAUAACGGACAAGACGCCUAAGAGGACGACGCUAGGCUAGCGACGACAGAGGACUGUGCCCUUUUUAUUGUUUAUUAAAUUGUUGAAGUUAUCAGCCUGCGUUAUUAAGUAUAUUCUUGAUUCAUUCUGUUGUUGUGUCAUAUGGACUCGCAUGCACCAGUAACAUAUAUAUACUCAUCAACAAAAUAGACCAUCAACAGAUGUGGCGACCCACGACGGCCAGGGCGUCAUUUUGAUCUACAAUCUAGUUAACUUCGUGUUAUGGAUAUAUCUAUCUACAAUUCUACACUUGGCGAAGUACACUGGAGAAGUACUGGAUUAACAUUCGUUUAUUUCUACUAGAUCUACCCUACGUCUGUGCUAAUUAUCUGGACUGCAGCUGGAUUUUGGCAUCUUUGUUCCAGUGGAUCUAGACUUUCUAUUAGAGAAAAUUCGAAACCGUUACCAGCGUCUAGCUUUGUCAGCCAUGUUGGAUAUUUUUAGAUUGAACUUGGAUCUAUAUUGACUAGAUCUAUAUCUAUUGUGUCUGAAUCCAGAACUAUUUCGUCCGUUGAAGUGAUUUAGGGCAGUCCGUCGUCAGUAUACCUCUACCUAUAUACCUCAAGAGUGAAGAUACCUCAUUUUGUCAGGUUUAUCUGUUUAUUGUGAGUACGGAAAGUCAUCUGAGUCUACAUAUCUAGUAUCUACAAGCUGACCGUUGGAUCGAGUCACCUUGUCAGGAAAGGUUUGGUGUGAUGUGAGGCGACCAGCCAUGAACAUAUAGCCAAUGACAGUAUUUACUCUGAAAAACACUGUUUUAUGUCUGUGGAAUCGACAAAGGCAUCGUCGUAUGGGGACUGUAUACAUGUCUUGAUGGACUUAGUACUAUUAGUUGGUGAAACUAUUACACUGUACUAUACUAUUUCAUCGUCAAUGACAUGAGUGAUGAUUAGAACACUGUAUACCGGAUAUUUUCUUACCAAUAACUGUAUUGGAACUGUACAUAUUGUUUUCUUGGUGUCAACAUUCAACUACAGUGUGAACUUUGUGACAUAGGAACAUGGACAAUUUUACCAGGAACUGAUGAAGAUGGGAAACAUGAUGAUGUCCAUCAAGAUCAAGAUAUAUGUUUGUUUUGUCUUUCCCCAAAAUUUUGGCCAUAUAUAUUGUACAGACAUGACAGUAGGGAUAGUGUUUUAGACUGAAAAAAAAAAUUGACAAAAUUUUUUUUUUGAUAAAGGGGGGAGGAAAUAUGUAAUGACACAAGAUGCGUAGAAGUUGAUGUGAAUCGGGUUUUUCCUAAGUAAUGUGACGAGUAAGAACAGAGUAGGAUAAUGAACAAAAAAGAAUAACGGACAAGACGCCUAAGAGGACGACGCUAGGCUAGCGACGACAGAGGACUGUGCCCUUUUUAUUGUUUAUUAAAUUGUUGAAGUUA